AACGUAGGAGACAAACGUUAUCCGGAGUUACUGGGCGUAAAGGGCGUGUAGGCGGUUUGUUAAGUCUGGCGUGAAAGCUCUCGGCUAAACCGGGAGAGGUCGUUGGAUACUGGCAAACUAGAGGACGGUAGAGGCGUGUGGAAUUCCGGGUGUAGUGGUGAAAUGCGUAGAGAUCCGGAGGAACACCAGUGGCGAAGGCGGCAUCCUGGACCAACACUGACGCUGAGGAGCGAAAGCCAGGGGAGCAAACGGG
RNAcentral lists this ribosomal RNA (253 nucleotides) under uncultured bacterium. RNAcentral's name for it is "partial 16S ribosomal RNA". It matches the Rfam family "Bacterial small subunit ribosomal RNA", at positions 524 to 776 of the family's 1533-position model. The record is from RNAcentral.